UAAAAAGGUACUCAAGAGCACACAAUGGAUGCCUAGACGUAUAUUACCGAAGAAGGACGCGGAAGACUGCGAAAAGUCUCGGGGAGCUGUCAACAAGCUUUGAUCCGGGAAUGUCCGAAUGGGGAAACCCAGUACGAGUCAUGUCGUAUUAUCUGUCUCUGAAUAUAUAGGAGAUUUGACGGGAACCAACUGAACUGAAACAUCUUAGUAGGUUGAGGAAGAGAAAAUAAAUAAUGAUUCCGGGAGUAGUGGCGAGCGAAACUGGAUCAGCCCAAACCUUUUACAUUUUUGCCUGGUAAUUUAUUACCGGCGCAAAUAAGUUUUCAGACGAAUAUGUAUAAGGGGUUGUGAGAUUACACAAGAACAGGUCAGAGCACUAAAGUUUACUUUAGUGAAUCUGACUUGCGACCACGAACUGAAAAUAGUGGGUAAGGUAAAAAAAUUACAUCGUUAGCGGAAUAGUUUGAAUGACUAACCAAAGAACGUGAAAGUCGCGUAUGCGAAAACGAUGUUGACCUUAUCUGUGUUUUUCUCGAGUAGGACGGGGCACGAGAAACCCUGUUUGAAUCCGGCAGGACCACCUGCCAAGGCUAAAUAUAAUAUACGAUCGAUAGUGAACUAGUACCGUGAGGGAAAGGUGAAAAGAACCCCGGGAGGGGAGUGAAAUAGAUCCUGAAAUUGUGUGCUUACAAUGUGUCGGAGCGGAUUUAUUCCGUGACGGCGUGCUUUUUGUAGAACGAUCCAGCGAGUUAAUUUCCAGUGCAAGGUUAAGUCAAUUGACGGAGCCACAGUGAAAGCGAGCCUGAAUAGGGCGUUGGCACCUUCGCACUGAGCAAAAUACUCUGUGGACGCAUAGCGCUGAUUUUGGCAAAGUGAAAUCCGUUCAACGUAUAUAUCUAUACGUUUCACGAAUUUCGCAAAGCCAAAAUCUAGCGAUCUGUGCCCACAGAUGCAUUUUGUCCAGCGUGAAGGUGCCGAAAGUACUAGGAAUUAGACCCGAAACCGGGUGACCUAACCAUGAGCAGGCUGAAGCUACUGUAACAGGUAGUGAAGGGCCGAACCGUCGCAAGCAGCAAAUUGCUCGGAUGACUUGUGGUUAGAGGUGAAAUGCCAAUCGAACUCGGAGAUAGCUGGUUCUCCUCGAAAUAGCUUUAGGGCUAGCGUCAAGUAAUUAGCCAACGGGGGUAGAGCUCUGUAAAGGAAUAAGGUUCGCAAGAAUACUUAUCCUUAACAAACUACGAAUACCGUUGGUGGUAUCUUGGCAGUCAGAACGUCGGGGCUAAGCUCGGCGCUCAAAAGGGAAACAGCCCAGACCAUCAUCUAAGGUCCCCAAAUAUAUACUCAGUGGGAAACAAAGUGGAAUUUCUUAAACAGCUAGGAUGUUGGCUUAGAAGCAGCCAUUCAUUUAAAGAGUGCGUAACAGCUCACUAGUCAAGAGAUUCUGCGUGGAAAAUGUAACGGGGCUAAAGUAUAUUACCGAAGAUAUGGAUGUGAUGUAAUUUAUUACACACGUGGUAGAGGAGCGUUCCCGUCAGCAGUGAAGUUCAACUGGAAAGUUGGGUGGAGCGGCGGGAAGUGAGAAUGCUGGAAUGAGUAACCAUAAGACAGGUGAGAAUCCUGUCGGCCGUAAGAGCAAGGUUUCCUGAGCCAUGGUAAUCAUCUCAGGGUUAGUCGGGCCUAAGCCGAGGCGCAUAGCGUAGGCGAUGGACAUCAGGUUAAUAUUCCUGAACCGGUUAUAAUUUGUAUACAGUUUACAGUGGAAUAAUCAAAGCGAAUUCAUGGUAUGUAUUCGUCCAACCUAGCGGGAACGCAAAGGGAGUGAAAGUGAUUCUUCGGAGUCGCGAUUUUGAUCAAGGCACUGGCUAGAAAAGCUGGUAUACGCGUGGUUAUAGCCGCCCGUACCGCAAACCAACACAGGUGCUCGAGUCGAGUAGACUCAGGCUUACGAGAGAACCUUCGCUAAGGAACUCGGCAAUAAAGCGACCGUAACUUCGGGAUAAGGUCUGCCCCCACAUCAUUCGAUGUGAGCCGUGUUCAACUAACUUGGUGAAAGGUGGUUGAAAAUAGAUAAAUUUGAGUACGCAGUAUGUUUAGCGAUAGAUAUAUUGUGUCAAAACCUUUUUAAAAUCACAAUUUUUUACUGAGAUAGACAAAUCAUAAUAGUAAUAUUAAUGAUCUUUUGAGCACGACCUCUCGCAUCUAACGAUGUGGGGGCCGCAGCUAAAGAUUCCACGGAACUGUUUACCAAAAACACAGGUCUCUGCUAAUUCGAAAGAAGAUGUAUAGGGGCUGACUCCUGCCCAGUGCUGGUAGGUUAAGGGGAGCGCUUUACGGUGCGAACUGAAGCCCCAGUGAACGGCGGCGGUAACUAUAACCGUCCUAAGGUAGCGAAAUUCCUUGUCAGGUAAGUUCUGACCCGCACGAACGGAGUAAUCAUGUGGAAACUGUCUCAGCGAAGGACUCGGUGAAAGUGCAUUGGCGGUAAAGAUGCCGCCUGUCCGUACCAGGACGAAAAGACCCCAUGGAGCUUUACUACAGCUUUACAUUGAUUCGGGUUACAACAUGUGUAGAAUAGGUGGGAGCCUUUGAAGCAGAUACGCAAGUAUUUGUGGAGGCACCAAGUGAAAUACCACCCUUGUUGUGAUCUUAAUCUUACCGUUACCAUUAUCUGGUAACGGGACCGUGUAUGGUGGGUAGUUUAACUGGGGCGGUUGCCUCCUAAAGAGUAGCGGAGGCGUUCAAAGGUUGGCUAGUUUCGUAUGGAAAUCGAAACGAUAGUGUAUGCGCAUAAGCCAGCUUGACUGUGAGGGGUACAUCCCAAACAGAUACGAAAGUAGGAGCAAGUGACCCGCUAUAUAGUACAUUUAUGUACAUGAACGUGGGAUCGAUAGCGCACACGGAUAAAAGUUACCCUGGGGAUAACAGGCUUAUAGCGCCCAAUAGUUCACAUAGACGGCGCUGUUUGGCACCUCGAUGUCGGCUCAUCACAUCCUGGAGGGGGAGCACCUUCCAAGGGUUCGGCUGUUCGCCGAUUAAAGUGGUACGCGAGCUGGGUUCAGAACGUCGUGAGACAGUUCGGUUUAUAUCCGGUACGGACGUUAGGAAAUUUGAGAAGAUCCACCCUUAGUACGAGAGGACCGGGGCGGACGAACCUCUGGUGUAUCGAUUGUGGCCACCUGCUGCAUUGUCGAGUAGCUACGUUCGGAAUAGAUAAGCGCUGAAAGCAUAUUAAGCACGAAACUAACUUCAAGAUAAGAUUUCCCUAUGAGGACACUGAAAGAAUAUCAGUUUGAUAGGCGCAAGGUGUAAGCAUGGCAACAUGUGUAGCUGAAGCGUACUAAUAGUCCCAUCGCCUUUUUAUG
Candidatus Saccharibacteria bacterium CG2_30_41_52 is the source of this 3362-nucleotide non-coding RNA. NCBI's taxonomy places the organism in Bacteria, Candidatus Saccharimonadota. The record is from Rfam.